UGACUGGCAGGGUGGAGAAAACAGGAGGAUGGAUAAAGCUUCACAGAAAGACUUCAGAGGAAAUUUGACUCCUUUGAAACCACAGGUGUGAAGUUCUCUGUCCUAAAUCACAGGAGAUUUCCCACAACCUUUGAGUUGAAUUUGGAGCCAGUUCUUCGGUGGCGGUGGCUGCAGGGGAAAGGCCUGGUGGGAUUCGGUGCAGCAUGGGACUAGGUGAGUUACUU
This 224-nucleotide long non-coding RNA is filed under the name Fukomys damarensis (Damara mole-rat). RNAcentral describes it as "lncRNA (ENSFDAG00000026158.1)". Lineage: Eukaryota; Metazoa; Chordata; Mammalia; Rodentia; Bathyergidae. The record is from RNAcentral.